Molecule: ribosomal RNA, 538 nt
Filed under: Microhyla nilphamariensis
Lineage: Eukaryota; Metazoa; Chordata; Amphibia; Anura; Microhylidae
Description: partial 16S ribosomal RNA
Rfam family: Bacterial large subunit ribosomal RNA
Source: RNAcentral
UUCCAAAAACAUCGCCUUCUGAUACUCAUAGAAGGUCCAGCCUGCCCAGUGACUAAGUUAAACGGCCGCGGUACCCUAACCGUGCAAAGGUAGCGCAAUCACUUGUUCUUUAAAUGAGGACUAGUAUGAACGGCAUCACGAGGGUUACACUGUCUCCCUAUUCCAUUCAGUGAAACUGAUCUUCCCGUGAAGAAGCGGGAAUAUAAAUAUAAGACGAGAAGACCCCAUGGAGCUUUAAACUCAGUGUCAUCUGCCACUUCAAUACCCCCUUAAUUACGCAGACCAUGAUAACUAGUUUUCGGUUGGGGUGACCGCGGAGUAAAACAAAACCUCCACAACGAAAGGAACUAACAACCUAAUCCAAGAGCAACAUCUCUAAGAAUCAACAAAUUGACUUAAUUGAUCCAAUUACUUGAUCAACGAACCAAGUUACCCUGGGGAUAACAGCGCAAUCCAUUUCAAGAGCUCAUAUCGACAAAUGGGUUUACGACCUCGAUGUUGGAUCAGGGUAUCCCAGUGGCGCAGCAGCUACUAACGG